GCGCGCCCCUAACCCGGACGGGCCCCGUUCCGCUGCGGCCCCGCCGCCCGCCCCGAGCGCCGCCCGCCCGGGAGAACUUCUCUGGGCGCGGGCCCGGGAGCGUGUCAAGUUGAGGCGGCAGCUCGCCGUGGGCUCGCGAAGGCCAUUGUUGGGACUCCGCUCUGCGGGAAACAAGUUCUGUGGGUUUCUGCGCUUUCGCCGCAGAGCCGUCGGCCUACGCAGAACCCGGCGCGGAGUAUUGAAGUAGCCUUCCGAGCGUUUUUUAAGUCCGGUGUUGUGACUCGGAUGUCGACCUGGUCGCGAACGCCUCCCUGCGAAGAUGAGCGAGGGGGGUGGUCCUUCGAGAGGCUGGAGGAGAGCUUCUGUUUUGCUUCCACAUCCUACUUUACUCCGGCUAAUCUGCUAAUGCAGUGAAUUGGAAGACAACUGUUACCAGGAUAACCUGUAAUGGGCAAGGAGCCACAGAGAAGAAAACAUUUCUUUUAAUUUUUAAACUUGGUUGAAAGACCAGCAUGUUUUGGAAAUUUGAUCUUCAUUCAUCAUCCCACAUAGACACACUUCUAGAAAGAGAAGAUGUAACACUGAAGGAGUUAAUGGAUGAGGAAGAUGUUUUACAGGAAUGUAAAGCUCAGAACCGCAAACUUAUAGAGUUUCUGUUAAAAGCAGAAUGUCUCGAAGAUUUAGUCUCAUUCAUUAUAGAAGAACCACCUCAAGACAUGGAUGAAAAGAUCAGAUACAAGUACCCAAAUAUAUCUUGUGAGUUGCUCACUUCUGAUGUCUCCCAGAUGAACGAUAGGCUGGGAGAAGACGAGUCCUUGCUCAUGAGGUUAUAUAGCUUCCUCCUAAACGACUCCCCCUUGAACCCGCUACUUGCCAGUUUCUUCAGCAAGGUGCUCAGUAUUCUUAUCAGCAGAAAACCAGAACAGAUUGUGGAUUUCUUAAAGAAGAAACGUGAUUUUGUAGACCUUAUAAUAAAGCACAUAGGAACUUCGGCCAUCAUGGAUUUAUUGCUCAGGCUCCUGACGUGCAUCGAGCCUCCGCAGCCCAGGCAAGAUGUGCUGAAUUGGUUAAAUGAGGAGCAAAUUAUCCAGAGACUUGUGGAAAUAGUUCAUCCAUCGCAAGAAGAAGAUCGGCAUUCAAAUGCUUCACAGUCACUUUGUGAAAUUGUUCGCCUGAGCAGAGACCAGAUGUUACAAAUUCAGAACAGUACAGAACCAGAUCCCCUGCUUGCCACUCUAGAAAAGCAAGAAAUUAUAGAGCAGCUUCUAUCAAAUAUUUUCCACAAGGAGAAAAAUGAAUCCGCCAUAGUCAGUGCAAUCCAGAUACUGCUGACUUUACUUGAGACACGGCGGCCCACAUUUGAAGGCCAUAUAGAGAUCUGCCCGCCAGGCAUGAGUCAUUCGGCUUGUUCGGUCAACAAGAGUGUUUUAGAAGCUAUCCGAGGAAGACUUGGAUCUUUCCAUGAACUCCUGCUUGAGCCACCCAAGAAAAGUGUGAUGAAGACUACGUGGGGUGUGCUGGACCCUCCGGUGGGCAAUACCCGAUUGAAUGUCAUCAGGUUGAUAUCCAGCCUCCUUCAGACAAACACCAGCAGUAUCAAUGAGGACCUCAUGGAGCUGAAUAGCAUUGGGGUCAUAUUGGACAUGUUCUUCAAAUAUACGUGGAAUAACUUUUUACAUACACAAGUGGAAAUUUGUAUUGCACUGAUCCUUGCAAGUCCUUUUGAAAAUACAGAAAAUAACACAAUUACUGAUCAAGACUCCACUGGUGACAAUUUGUUACUGAAACACCUUUUUCAAAAAUGUCAGCUAAUAGAACGGAUACUGGAUGCCUGGGAAAUGAAUGAGAAGAAACAGGCCGAGGGAGGCAGACGGCACGGCUACAUGGGACACCUGACAAGGAUAGCUAACUGUAUUGUGCACAGCACUGAUAAGGGCCCCAACAGUGCAUUAGUACAGCAGCUUAUCAAAGACCUUCCAGAUGCAGUCAGGGAGCGGUGGGAGGCGUUCUGCACAAGCUCCUUGGGAGAAACUAACAAGAGGAACACGGUAGAUCUAGUUACAACCUGCCAUAUUCAUUCAUCCAGUGAUGAUGAAAUUGACUUUAAAGAAACGGGUUUCUCACAGGAUUCUUCUUUGCAGCAAGCCUUUUCUGAUUAUCAGAUGCAACAAAUGACGUCCAAUUUUAUUGACCAGUUUGGCUUCAACGAUGAGAAGUUUGCAGAUCAAGAUGACAUUGGCAAUGUUUCUUUUGAUCGGGUAUCAGACAUCAACUUUACUCUGAAUACAAAUGAAAGUGGAAAUAUUGCCUUGUUUGAAGCAUGUUGUAAGGAGAGAAUACAGCAGUUUGAUGAUGGUGGCUCUGAUGAGGAAGACAUCUGGGAGGAAAAGCACAUUGCCUUUACACCAGAAUCCCAAAGACGAUCCAGCUCGGGGAGUACAGACAGUGAAGAAAGUACAGACUCUGAAGAAGAAGACGGAGCGAAACAAGACUUGUUUGAACCCAGUAGUGCCAGCACAGAGGAUAAAAUGGAGGUAGACUUGAAUGAACCACCCAACUGGUCAGCCAACUUUGAUGUCCCCAUGGAGACAACCCAUGGUGCUCCCUUAGAUUCUGUGGGGUCUGAUGUCUGGAGCACAGAGGAGCCAAUGCCAACUAAGGAGACAGGCUGGGCCUCUUUCUCAGAGUUCACGUCUUCCCUGAGUACAAAAGAUUCUUUAAGGAGUAAUUCUCCGGUGGAAAUGGAAACCAGCACCGAGCCGAUGGGUCCUCUGACUCCCAGUGUUGCCACACUGGCCGCACAGCCGGAAGCACCAGCCAGUGUAGCCAUGGAAGCCAGCUCUGACGGAGAGGAGGAUGCAGAAAGUACAGACAAGGUAACUGAGACAGUGAUGAAUGGCGGCAUGAAGGAAACUCUCAGCCUCACUGUAGAUGCCAAGACAGAAACCGCAGUCUUCAAAAGUGAGGAAGGAAAACUGUCUACCUCUCAAGAUGCUGCUUGUAAGGAUGUCGAGGAGAGCCCUGAGACAACAGAGGCAAAGUCUGCGGGCCCCCGGCCCCCCAGCAGUAGCCCAGAGCAGAGUCACCUAUUGCUUAGACUGAGCCAGUGGUCUGAAGGGAUAGGCCAAGCCAAAGCCUCAGCCGCCGAGGGCCGCCGCCCCGGCCCGUACGCACGGCCUCGCAGGUAGAGCAAGGGCGGCCUCCGAUUGCUGCAGAGCACGCGCCAGAAGAUGAGGAUUUGCCCUUGGACCACAAGGAACUUUGCUCAGCACUUCCCAGAGUUAACUUUUUUGUUAUAUAUAUCUAAGUUUGUACAUUCCUUCCAUAAGGAAUAAAGUAACCUUUAAAGCCAUUUCAGAGAAGUUGUACUUUCCCCCUUACCAGACCCCCACCCCCAAAAUCUGUCACUUUAGAGGUGACAAAACCAGUGGGAACCAGCAGGGGGCGCUCUCUGUUCACCGGUUGGCAGACCUCUUUAGUGGGGCAAACCCUGCUUUUGUUUCUCUCAUGGGAAUUAUAGCCAGCAUGAGGGGUUUGCUUCUAUGAUUAAAAAAAAAAAAGCCUUCUUGGCGUAUAAAACAAUUAUAAGAACUAUUUGAGCAUGUUGGCUCUAGGGAAGGCUUUGGGAGGAGGAGGCAUGGUGACCCUCCAGCGUUGAGGGAUCCGGCCCCAGGUAUGCUUCGAAGUGUUCUGGGCAAGUCACCUUUUUUGCCUGGGGUUUUCAGUGGAUGUUUUUUCAAAGGUAUUUUGUAGGAUCUUAUUCCUAGUCCGUUAUGUCAUCUCCCUGAUUUCUACCUACAGAUUUCCUUUAUAUUGCGAACUGCUUGAAGGCAGGACAGUCCAGGUCUAUUCCAAUCUGGAGUUGCUUCGGGACUCUCUUUGUUUCUCAGACAUAAAUGAUACAGGAGGCUCUGGGAUCAUUUCCUUGGCUCUCUGGAGGGCAGAAUUCCUUGCUUUAGGGGAACCCACUUGCUCUUCUACCCGCCUAGAGACGUCUGGUGUGAAGAGCCCUGCCUCUCAAUCUGCCAGACUGAGGUGGUGGGGGGGGAACACUGGGGAGGGCCAGUGGACAAAGAGGAGGGCAUCCCUUGUGUCCACACAUUCAUCCAUCUGUCCUUCAUCCAACACAUGGAAGUGUGGCAGCCAGUGGUCUAGGCCGGGGUGGGGGAAGCAGUUGCAUAAAAGACCCCCAGAUGAUAGAGGGACGUGUAGAAAGAGGUGCUGCUGAAGAAUCGGGACAGCUGCACGGGAGAUCAGGAGUCCCAUUUAGAUGGGGCGGUGGAGGAAGGCCGCUCAGAAGGUGACAUUGAGCUGCUGUGAUGGCAGGGAGAAGGUAAGUGGUCCAGCGCGUCCCAUCUGUGUCCUAAGGGCGAAGUACGGGAGGUAGGGAGAGCCAUUGGGACUUGCCAGAUGCCCUCUUCCCCACAUGGUUCCUGUCACAACCAGGUUAUCAUGAGCCCUGGGGUUGACAGAUGCACACUACUGCCCUGAACUGCCUGCAUGGGCACGGAAUUUAACGUUUAGCUACUGUGGAUCGAGCACGUGCGAUACCUGUGCUGACCAGUGUGCCAGGCACUCGGCACCCGUCACGUACGCACCCACCAUCAGUGGGGAUUGUUGUCCCCCUUUCACGGGGGAGGAGCUGAUCUGGAGAGGGGAGAAAGUGUACUUGAGACCCAGCAGCUUGUGAGUGGUGAUAGUGGGAUCUGUGCCCGGUGUGUCUGCUGCCAGAACCCCGGUCCCCCUGCCUCUCAGACACUGAAUGUUACCAGAGUGCUUGCUCGUGGAGCCCGCUUCCUGGCUCUCUGUCAGAGUUGGCGGGUGUCUGAAGCCUUGGGCUCGUGAGUUGCGAGCUGAUCCAGAAGCACCCUGUGUGCUUCCCAGUGCCUCUCUAAGCACCCUUUCCCAAGCCGGCUUUGUAAAUUCUGGAAACGCCGCCAAGACUCUACUGUCCUGUGUUGAAGCAGGAAGGUCGAAUUUGUGUAUCUGCCACCAUACUGUUCAUCUAGCAUUCCCUCUUCUCUUCUCUUUCGAGAGGGAAGGGAGGGCACACGUGGGGGUGGAGGGAGAGGGAGAGAGAAUCUUUUUUUUUUUUUUUUUUAAAGAUUUUAUUUAUUUGACAGCGAGAGACACAGCGAGAGAGGAAACACAAGCAGGGGGAGUGGGAGAGGGAGAAGCAGGCUUCCCGCCGAGCAGGGAGCCCGAUGCGGGGCUCGAUCCCAGGACCUGGGAUCAUGACCUGAGCCGAAGGCAGACGCUUAACAACUGAGCCACCCAGGCGCCCCGGGAAAGAGAAUCUUAAGCUGGCUCCUGCCGGGGCUCGAUCUCACGACCCUGAGAGCAUAACGUGGCCAAAACCAAGAGUCAGAGGCUUAACCGACUGAGCCCCGCCAGCCGCCCCUAGCAUUCUCUCUUCUGUGCUCCCAGCUUCAGCCCUAACACUUGCCUGGCGGGAGCACAUUGGUUAAAGUGCACACCCGGUUUCAAGAGUUGGUCUUGUUUACAAGCCUUUUUUUUUUUUUUCCCUCUUUCAGUAGAAGAAUCCUGCUUUUCAAGUGAAAUUUUAUGUGGAUUCCAAUAUAUGGAACAAAUAAAAAGCUGUUUGAAGGAGGAAAUGAGCAUGUGGCUCGUGACGGGUCUGGGAGCAACAGUAAAAACCACUGCCCUAGUCUCCGCCUGUGCUUCUAAGAAGCUGAGGACUGACCAGCCAAGCCUGCCAGGUGACACAUCUGUCAACGGCCCCGUAUGAUGAGUGACCCCUGCUUGCUGCUGACUGAGGACCGCAGGCCGCCACCGCUCGGGGCCUCUGGAGACUUCACCUGGAGCCCGCCAGGCCGUCACUGCUGCACUCACUCUGCAAAGGAUCAGGACCAGCAACCUUUAUAUUCUAGAUUCUAAGACAUUGUACAGAGAAAUCCAGAAGUGUAAAAAUAUUGCACAUUGACAAAUACCAAGAAUUUUUGCGUAUGUUUAUAUUGUAUUGUUCUAAAUAAUGGGUAGCCUGUGAAAUAAGAUCGUGCCACCCAUGUAAUAAUAGUAGUAAUACUAUAGUUAAAAUGGCUGUAAGAAUAGUUUUAUAAAAGUGAAUACACAGAUCUAUUGUAUUUGAAACAUAACUAUUUGACAAUUAUUAGUGUGACCAAAGUAUUAGGCAGUUUUCAUACAUUUUUCACCUUGUACAAAAUUCUGAAUUCAUUUCUCUUCCAGGCUGGCAAGGAGUUGUAGGGUUGAAAUGCCCUCUAAGUGUUAAUUUUGGUUGUUCUAACUUACAAACGUGAUUUUGAAUAAGAAAUAUUUGGUGUUCUUUUUAUAACCAGGUUUUGAUUGGUAACUGUUUUCUGUAUUGUUUUAAACGGAUCAAAAAAUGUAAGUCUAUUGGUAGAGAUUAAGUAUUUAUUGCUACAACUUAGUUGAUAAAUUGAUGUUACUGUAAAGCCAUAUGUUCUGUUGAAGUCUCGUUUGCUUGAAAUGGUUCCUCCUACAGGUGAGACACUAGACUGUUUGGGGUGUACUUGUGGUUUGAGUUACUUUGUUUCUCGUUUUUGUUUUUUUGUUUUGUUUUGUUUUGGUAGUUCCUCUGCCUUUUAACCCAUUCACCCAAAUUUACCUUGUUAACAAGCAUCACCAGUGACCAUUUCUGAGCAGUUUGCAUAUUUAACAAACCUAAACCGUAUCAGGCAGGCCCGUGGAAGAGUGCUCGCGCUGCAGGUGGAUCAGAGCGCGUUCGUUUUGCAGGCUAGUGUUUCCAGCUAGAAAUCAGAACCUGGCACCUACGCAUGGGGAUUGUUCUCCUGUACCUUGUGAGGUUUCCACGCAUAAAUUCUAAGCCAGUGUGUUUUUUUUAGAACUGGUUUGUGUAUAUAUAUAUAGUGAUUAUGGAUACUAAUUCAAUGUAAUUUAUAAUUUUCUAUGUCAAUAUAAAAGUACAUCACAGCCUUCUCAAACAGCUGAAGCAAUAUAUCGUAUAUUGCCAUAUCGUCUGGGGAAAGGGUUAAAUUUCUUCACCUUGCACUUUUAGAUGCAGAUCAGGUUUUCAUUUCUGUAAUAGAAAACUGUUCACGUAUUUUUACAUCAUUUGUUUGUCCUGACCAGUAUUUAAAACCAAAAGGAUAUUCUGAAUAAUGGCCAACGAUUUUUUUAGAACUAGCAUCCCAAGCAGCGUGCCUAAACAUUACAUUGCAUAUGGAAAUAAAAGAAUCAAAUGUUUAA
Molecule: RNA transcript, 7209 nt
Organism: Mirounga angustirostris (Northern elephant seal)
Lineage: Eukaryota; Metazoa; Chordata; Mammalia; Carnivora; Phocidae
Gene: PPP6R3
Gene name: protein phosphatase 6 regulatory subunit 3
Exons: 25
Source: RefSeq, a predicted model, not a curated record